ACCUUCGUGGUGUAAUGGUAGCGCACUCGGCGCAUAUUCGAGGGGUCCAGGUUCAAGUCCCGGCAGGGGCG
This 71-nucleotide transfer RNA is filed under the name Stegodyphus mimosarum. It matches the Rfam family "tRNA". From Rfam's summary of the family: Transfer RNA (tRNA) molecules are approximately 80 nucleotides in length. Their secondary structure includes four short double-helical elements and three loops (D, anti-codon, and T loops). Further hydrogen bonds mediate the characteristic L-shaped molecular structure. tRNAs have two regions of fundamental functional importance: the anti-codon, which is responsible for specific mRNA codon recognition, and the 3' end, to which the tRNAs corresponding amino acid is attached (by aminoacyl-tRNA synthetases). tRNAs cope with the degeneracy of the genetic code in two manners: having more than one tRNA (with a specific anti-codon) for a particular amino acid; and 'wobble' base-pairing, i.e. permitting non-standard base-pairing at the 3rd anti-codon position. The record is from Rfam by way of RNAcentral. Lineage: Eukaryota; Metazoa; Arthropoda; Arachnida; Araneae; Eresidae.